Molecule: ribosomal RNA, 485 nt
Filed under: uncultured bacterium
Lineage: Bacteria
Description: partial 16S ribosomal RNA
Rfam family: Bacterial small subunit ribosomal RNA
Source: RNAcentral
GAUGAACGCUGGCGGCGUGCUUAACACAUGCAAGUCGAACGGAAUCCCAGGGAUCCUUGCACUCUUUGGUUAGCGUGGCGCACGUGUGAGUCACACGUAAGUCACCUGUCUUUUUCUUGGGGAUCAGCGUUCGACAGGGUGUUUAAUACCUUAUGUUCUGUCUGCCUCGCAUGGGGAGGUUGGGGACGGCUUUGGCCGGACUUGGGUGUGCUUGCGGUCUAUCUGCUUGUUGGGGGGGUGAUGGCUUACCCGGGCUUUGACGGGUAGCGGGGGUGUGAGGGUGGUCGAACACAUAGGGACUGAGAUACGGUCCAGGCGGCUGCAGUAGGCAGCAGUGGGGGAUAUUGCACAAUGGGCGAAAGCAUGAUGCAGCGACGGAGCGUGGGCGAUGAAGCCUUUCGGGUUGUAAACAUCUAUUGCUAUGUACGUGGCUUGCCAGUGAGUGUGUUGAGUGUAGGGGUUGAUUAGCGCCGGCUAACUACGUG